RNAcentral lists this transfer RNA (63 nucleotides) under Glycera americana (American bloodworm). RNAcentral describes it as "tRNA-Pro". The record is from RNAcentral. Lineage: Eukaryota; Metazoa; Annelida; Polychaeta; Phyllodocida; Glyceridae.
CAGAAAAUAGUUUAUAAAAAUAUUAACUUUGGGAGUUAAAGAUCGGAUCUUUCUGUUUUCUGA